Molecule: ribosomal RNA, 324 nt
Filed under: uncultured eukaryote
Lineage: Eukaryota
Description: partial 18S ribosomal RNA
Rfam family: Eukaryotic small subunit ribosomal RNA
Source: RNAcentral
CCCUUAGAUGUUCUGGGCCGCACGCGUGCUACACUGAGUGGAUCAGCGGGUCAGGUUGCGCGAAAGCGUUUCCUAAUCUUUAAAUCCGCUCGUGAUGGGGAUUGACGGUUGCAAUUUUCUGUCAUGAACGAGGAAUUCCCAGUAAGCGCGAGUCAUAAGCUCGCGUUGAUUACGUCCCUGCCCUUUGUACACACCGCCCGUCGCUACUACCGAUUGGAUGGUUUAGUGAGAUCCUCGGAUUGGUCCCGGAGCGGCCUCUGGUCGUGCCGGAGUGCCGAAAAGAAUGUCGAACUUGAUCAUCUAGAGGAAGUAAAAGUCGUAACA